Molecule: ribosomal RNA, 469 nt
Filed under: uncultured bacterium
Lineage: Bacteria
Description: SSU rRNA
Rfam family: Bacterial small subunit ribosomal RNA
Source: RNAcentral
AGGAUAAACGCUGGCGGCGUGCCUAACACAUGCAAGUCGAACGUCUCUUCUUUCGGGAAGAGGAGUGGCGGACGGGUGAGGAACACGUGGGAACCUGCCCUUUAGUGAGGAAUACCGGCGAGAAAUCGCCGACAAGACCGCAUAGCCCUCUUUGAUGAGAGUCAAAGAAGGAAAGCUUCGCAAGAGGCGCUAGAGGAGGGGCCUGCGUCCGAUUAGCUAGUUGGUGGGGUAAGAGCCUACCAAGGCGUCGAUCGGUAGCUGGUCUGAGAGGACGAUCAGCCACACUGGGAUUGAGAACGGCCCAGACUCCUACGGGGGGCAGCAGUGAGGAAUUUUCGGCAAUGGGGGAAACCCUGACCGAGCAACGCCGCGUGCAGGAAGACGGCCUUCGGGUUGUAAACUGCUUUUCUUGGGACGAGACGGACGGUACCAGAGGAAUCAGCCCGGCUCACUACGUGCCAGCAGCCGC